GGUAGCUAUAGCUCAAUGGUAGAGCACUCGUAUGUGGCAUGAGUGACCUGAGUUCAAUCCUCAGUAGUUACC
Molecule: transfer RNA, 72 nt
Filed under: Candida gigantensis
Lineage: Eukaryota; Fungi; Ascomycota; Pichiomycetes; Serinales; Debaryomycetaceae
Description: tRNA-His
Rfam family: tRNA
About the family: Transfer RNA (tRNA) molecules are approximately 80 nucleotides in length.
Source: RNAcentral